GGAAGGUGUGCAGAAGGAGUGGGAGAGAACUGAGUCCAACAAAUUUGCAACAAAUGCCACGGAGUUCACACUUUCAACAUUUUAAAGGUAAACAAGGUGGGUAACACCAAGUGGCAAUGGCAAGAUUAAAAAUUAGAGGAGAUACUCUGCUUUAUGGAGAUACACAGCAUUUAUCCCCCAAGCAGUGCAGAAUGUGUGAGAGUGGAAGAGAAAGUCCUGUGUCCAGGCCAUGGACUCCUUUCUGGAGGCAGUGAUGUUUCCCAAAUGCUGAUGUGUUCUGCUGGAAUCCAGUGUGGAACAAGCCAGGGUCCUUCUUUGCUUCCUACAACAUGGUGAAGAAUUACGGGGUGUUAAAGAAGAGUAACUAUUCAGUGUCCUCAUACUGCUGGUAAAGUUCCAGGUUUUAAAUUGGUUGCUAGGAAUAUGUAGCCUCUAUUCAAGCACUAAUUUAAAUUGACUCGGGCUGUCUGGAGGUGUUAAUUGCAUGUACUCAUCCCCUCCACUCUUGGUUUGUCCUCACCCUCAAUCUGACAUACCAGACACCCUUGAGGACGAUGCAUGGGCACAAAAAACUUUGUGCAAAAUAAACAGUGUAACACUCCAAGUACAUCAUGA
Ficedula albicollis (Collared flycatcher) is the source of this 615-nucleotide long non-coding RNA. RefSeq lists it as uncharacterized. The record is from RefSeq and is a predicted model, not a curated record. NCBI's taxonomy places the organism in Eukaryota, Metazoa, Chordata, Aves, Passeriformes, Muscicapidae. The transcript has 3 exons.